RNAcentral lists this ribosomal RNA (328 nucleotides) under uncultured eukaryote. RNAcentral's name for it is "partial 18S ribosomal RNA". It matches the Rfam family "Eukaryotic small subunit ribosomal RNA", at positions 1470 to 1796 of the family's 1831-position model. The record is from RNAcentral.
CCCUUAGAUGUCCUGGGCCGCACGCGCGUUACACUGAUGCAUUCAACGAGCUUAUAACCUUGGCCGAGAGGCCUGGGCAAUCUUGUUAACGUGCAUCGUGAUAGGGAUAGAAUAUUGAAAUUAUUAAUCUUGAACGAGGAAUUCCUAGUAAACGCAGAUCAUCAAUCUGCAUUGAUUACGUCCCUGCCCUUUGUACACACCGCCCGUCGCACCUACCGAUUGGAUGGUCCGGUGAAGCCUCGGGAUUGUGGUUCUUGCCGCUUUAUUGUGGCGUGACCGCGAGAACUUGUCUAAACCUUAUCAUCUAGAGGAAGGUGAAGUCGUAACA